This 372-nucleotide long non-coding RNA is filed under the name Hordeum vulgare. Its description in RNAcentral is "long non-coding RNA (HVUL_LNC011893)". The record is from RNAcentral. Lineage: Eukaryota; Viridiplantae; Streptophyta; Magnoliopsida; Poales; Poaceae.
UAACUUGUACUUAAAUUGUUUACAUUGAAAGUUGCCUGCCCCACUCCUUCUCAUGCCUAGGUUUGGUACCUAGCAUGUACUUUGACAUGUUGCGCCUACUAGUAUGAUUGUUAUGUGUUAUCUAUCAUGUGUAGGUCGUUGUGUAUGUCAUAUAGUUGUGAGUUGUCCUGGUCAUUACUUGCAUCCUACUUGCACCGUUGUGUGGGUCUUUCGAGACGUUAAUAGCUCAUCACAUUAAGGGGGCGUGUUCUGCUCUACGCACAUCACUAACCCAAAAUGUGUAUAUAUGUAUUGGACUCCAUCUAGUAUUCACGAUGCAAGAUUAUCCAAUCAAUUCGUUUGAUGUCAAAGCCAUCCGAAGUUCAAAUUGGC